GAUGAACGCUGGCGGCGUGCCUAAUACAUGCAAGUCGAGCGAACGGACGAGAAGCUUGCUUUUCUGAUGUUAGCGGCGGACGGGUGAGUAACACGUGGAUAACCUACCUAUAAGACUGGGAUAACUUCGGGAAACCGGAGCUAAUACCGGAUAAUAUUUUGAACCGCAUGGUUCAAAAGUGAAAGACGGUCUUGCUGUCACUUAUAGAUGGAUCCGCGCUGCAUUAGCUAGUUGGUAAGGUAACGGCUUACCAAGGCAACGAUGCAUAGCCGACCUGAGAGGAUGAUCGGCCACACUGGAACUGAGACACGGUCCAGACUCCUACGGGAGGCAGCAGUAGGGAAUCUUCCGCAAUGGGCGAAAGCCUGACGGAGCAACGCCGCGUGAGUGAUGAAGGUCUACGGAUCGUAAAACUCUGUUAUUAGGGAAGAACAUAUGUGUAAGUAACUGUGCACAUCUUGACGGUACCUAAUCAGAAAGCCACGGCUAACUACGUG
This 497-nucleotide ribosomal RNA is filed under the name uncultured bacterium. RNAcentral's name for it is "partial 16S ribosomal RNA". It matches the Rfam family "Bacterial small subunit ribosomal RNA", at positions 28 to 507 of the family's 1533-position model. The record is from RNAcentral.